CAAAGGAGAGUGGACGGCGGCGUUCGCGGCGGUGUGGUUACGUUGCGACGGGUGCGUACACUGAAGGAAAGAGAGAGAGAGAGAGAGAGAGAGAGAGAGCACUAGGCGAGAGGGUGUGUCGGUGUGCUAGCAGCAGUAGAGCUAACCACCCUCCUCUCCCGCUGCUGCCGUCAAAACUAGGCACUAGAACGAGCUGCGCCUACCGUCGUAUAGCUAGGCCGCGUCCUCCGAGCCCCAGUCCCCGCCUCGAGACAUCCCCGAUUUGGCCCUGUACCGGGCGGGUCCUUAAAUUGUUUUUAAAAAAAUGGAUGUACAGUAGAAUCGGGUCGGGUGCUUGUCUGUGUAGUAGGGGUAGGAGAGCAGAGUCCGUGCGUGUCCGUGUGCGACUCUGCGUAGGAGACUAAGGGGUAGGAGAGUCGAUCCAAGAGGCCUACAUCGGCGGCACGUGUCCCUCGUGGUGGCAGGUGGCCUCGAACAGCGGGCGACAGAGCGCCUCGUUGGCGGCCUCUGCGGGCGCGCCGGCGCGGGGCGCCCUAGAGCGGAUCGGGAGCGGUGGAGCGGGGACGGUCCGAGGGAGUGCGGCAGCGGGCCAGCGCGGCGGGUGAGCGGGUCCGCGGGUGCUGGGUGAUAGAGUACCAAGCGCUUCGAUGGCGGAGCGGGGACCGGCGCCGCUGCGGGCGGCCUUAGAACGCCGACAAGAGGAGGUUGAGGUUAGGGGCCGACAAGACGAGGUUGGGGGACGGCGUAGUGACGUAGUCACGUAGGGUGAAGUGUCAAGUGUGUGGCGUGGUUGGUCGUCCCGUUGUCCCCUUCUCCGUCGUCCGCCCGUCUCCAUCAGUACCCGUUCCUUUUAGCCUGAGUCUUUUCUUAACUAAACCACAAAUUUUCCUUUUCUCUACUAUGUUAACUUCAACUCCUUCUGGUUCAUAACGGGAACGAACUUAACCUUGUCGUUGUUGGACUUGUUGUUGUAUUGGUUCUACCUCCUCAAGCUUGUUUACUUCAACAAUGUAAAGCCCCAUAACUCAAGAACGUCGCCCUAGGACCUAACGCGGGGGUUUAAACUUUAUUGUCUUAAAGAACCGGUUCGAAAUGUUUUCUUUAGUGUUCUAUAACACUUACAACAGGCGGAUCAAAGGAGUUGUUUUGUUACAGAAGUCCUCAACUCUAGUCUACUACCGAUGAUUCAUAAAUAAUGAUGCCAACAACUUAAAACACAUUUGGUAAGGUAACUGUAAGGUCUGAAACUCCUUUGUAUGUAGUACGCACCACCAGCACGAGCAGCAGUUGGACUAGUCAAGUGGUUCCUCGUAAUGAAAGCUCACCUUUAAAAGAAGAGUUGUGACCUGUGAGUUGAUAAACUUAAUUCGGCUUCUAAGUUACUAUUCCAUUACCUAGAAGAUUGGUAAUCGCGGUGGAACUAAGGAUGUUUGUUUAAGUCUCCUAAGUUUCGAUCACUAUAUACACUCUACCACUUUUUCAUGAUGGGUCGACUAAAAGGGGUUCUAUAAAUACCUAAUGUUGUCGUUGAAUUCGUGAAACAAAGUCUACGAAGGUUCCUACUACUAAACUUUUUGUAUAGAUGGAAUUAACUAGAUACAGCUACGGAACACCUCUGUCCUUCUGUAUGGCAGAUGUUAAACUAACUGUCUAAUGAAGCCAACGAGCAAUGGGAAGGUCAAAGAUGUCGGUCACGACUUGCGCGUAAAAGAUCAUACUUCUAGUAAUUCUGUUCUAACGCGUUAUUCUACCUUCUACUCUUAGACCGAUUAUUGAACAAUCAUGUGUAUCUCCCACCUUAAGACCUCUUGAUGUCAGUACUUCUACGGUAACGUCUAAAAUAUUCGUGCUUCCUAGCCUCUCAACUAAAGAUCAUACACUCAUUCAGGUACAGAUUACAGAGCUGUGAAAACAUAAUCGAUUUAGUUAUCACUGAGUACCAACUUGACAUGAAACUAUGUAUAUAUAAUAUAUAUAUGUAUAAACGAUCGAGUUAGAAC
Molecule: ribosomal RNA, 2000 nt
Filed under: Triticum aestivum (bread wheat)
Lineage: Eukaryota; Viridiplantae; Streptophyta; Magnoliopsida; Poales; Poaceae
Description: partial small subunit ribosomal RNA
Source: RNAcentral